RNAcentral lists this transfer RNA (36 nucleotides) under Oryctolagus cuniculus (rabbit). Its description in RNAcentral is "tRNA-Arg". Lineage: Eukaryota; Metazoa; Chordata; Mammalia; Lagomorpha; Leporidae. The record is from RNAcentral.
GCUCUGUGGCACAAUGGAUAGCGCAUUGGACUUCUA